GAUGAAGAACGUAGCGAAAUGCGAUAAGUAAUGUGAAUUGCAGAUUUCAGUGAAUCAUCGAAUCUUUGAACGCACCUUGCACCCUGUGGUAUUCCACAGGGUAUGCCCGUUUGAGUAUCAUUAACUCAUCAACUCCAAAACCUUUGUGUUCUUGGUGCUUGGUCUUGAGGGUUCAUUGCAGGCUUUUUGCAAAGUCGGCUCCCUUUAAAUCCAUUAGCGAGAUUUCCCUGUGCUGAACUCGUCUCUCGACGUGAUAAGUCUAUCUGCGUCAAAUUUAGAGUUCUCGUUGGGCUUGCUUCUAAUCGUCCACUUUGGACAAUCGGAUCGAGAGAUGUCUAUGUGCAUCCACCUUUCCAAAACCAUUUUUGAUCUCAAAUCGGGUAGGACUACCCGCUGAACUUAAGCAUAUCAAUAAGCGGAGGA
RNAcentral lists this unclassified non-coding RNA (423 nucleotides) under soil metagenome. Its description in RNAcentral is "partial contains 5.8S ribosomal RNA, internal transcribed spacer 2, and large subunit ribosomal RNA". The stretch from base 1 to 120 matches the Rfam family "5.8S ribosomal RNA", at positions 35 to 154 of the family's 154-position model. The record is from RNAcentral.